GACGGUGACAUGGUAAAGGGAGAAUGGGGAUUGGAGGGGAGGGAAGGGGGAGGAGUAGGGUGGAGACGAGCUUGACUGGGACCUCAGGCAUGGAACCAAAUCCCACGGUUAACUGGAAAGGAGAGAGCUGGCUUCCACGCUCUUCAGUCAGUGGGACAGGCCUGGCUUCUUUGUGCAGGUUCUUUUGGGCAGGAACGUCCCAGGGGAUGCCGUGGCUGCCUCGUGACCGGAGAUCUAUGAGGAAUACACACGGUGAACGUAGGUCCUUUUGCGUGAGGGGGUGUGGCACAGAGGAAGGGAUACCGCAAGAUGGAACCUGAG
Molecule: long non-coding RNA, 321 nt
Filed under: Zalophus californianus (California sea lion)
Lineage: Eukaryota; Metazoa; Chordata; Mammalia; Carnivora; Otariidae
Description: lncRNA (ENSZCAG00015009836.1)
Source: RNAcentral